Molecule: ribosomal RNA, 456 nt
Filed under: uncultured Thauera sp.
Lineage: Bacteria; Pseudomonadati; Pseudomonadota; Betaproteobacteria; Rhodocyclales; Zoogloeaceae
Description: bacterial SSU rRNA
Rfam family: Bacterial small subunit ribosomal RNA
Source: RNAcentral
GCACAAGCGGUGGAUGAUGUGGUUAAUUCGAUGCAACGCGAAAACCUUACCUACCCUUGACAUGUCUGGAACCUUGGUGAGAGCCGAGGGUGCCUUCGGGAGCCAGAACACAGGUGCUGCAUGGCUGUCGUCAGCUCGUGUCGUGAGAUGUUGGGUUAAGUCCCGCAACGAGCGCAACCCUUGUCACUAGUUGCCAUCAUUUGGUUGGGCACUCUAGUGAGACUGCCGGUGACAAACCGGAGGAAGGUGGGGAUGACGUCAAGUCCUCAUGGCCCUUAUAGGUGGGGCUACACACGUCAUACAAUGGCCGGUACAGAGGGUAGCCAACCCGCGAGGGGGAGCCAAUCCCACAAAGCCGGUCGUAGUCCGGAUCGCAGUCUGCAACUCGACUGCGUGAAGUCGGAAUCGCUAGUAAUCGCGGAUCAGCAUGUCGCGGUGAAUACGUUCCCGGGUCUU